Molecule: long non-coding RNA, 502 nt
Filed under: Brassica rapa (field mustard)
Lineage: Eukaryota; Viridiplantae; Streptophyta; Magnoliopsida; Brassicales; Brassicaceae
Description: long non-coding RNA (BRAP_LNC006173)
Source: RNAcentral
AGGUUAAAAAUGUCCAAACCUAACAAAUAAAACAACACGAUGAAUGAAUAAUAAAAUAUAUAUACAUAUACAUAUGUGCGGAAUGUAAACACAAUCUGGCUACUUCAACUAGUUUUGUUAGCAUUUAAAGUACCAAAAAAUAGAUCGAUAAUAAUUCAUGUCCGUAUAUAACUUAUAAGAUGCAGUACUAAACUUGGUGGGGGCAUGAAGAUUCAUCAACCACAACUCUUUGUUUGUAACUACAGUUUUUUCUCGCUUUUCAAAAAAAAAAAACUACAGUUUUUUCUAAGUAACUACAAUUUUUUCUAAGUAACAUAUAUGCCUUGUCACUUUUCACAUCUAAAUAUAAGAGUUAGUGUUUCAAAAAAAAAAAAUAUAUAUAUAUAUAUAAGAGUUAAAGCACCAAAUUAACUGCCCAAAAUAUACCAUUCGAAGUUACAAAUGCUUAGCCAAAUGCAAUUGAGUUGGCACCUUAGAAUCUAUUGAUCACAUUACUUCAUCA